GAUGAACGCUAGCUACAGGCUUAACACAUGCAAGUCGAGGGGCAGCACAGUGUAGCAAUACAUGGGCGGCGACCGGCGCACGGGUGCGUAACGCGUAUCCAACCUUCCCGUUACUCAGGGAUAGCCUUCCGAAAGGGAGAUUAAUACCUGAUGGUGUUCAAAUUCCGCAUGUUAUUUGAACUAAAGAUUUAUCGGUAACGGAUGGGGAUGCGUGACAUUAGAUAGUAGGCGGGGUAACGGCCCACCUAGUCUACGAUGUCUAGGGGUUCUGAGAGGAAGGUCCCCCACACUGGAACUGAGACACGGUCCAGACUCCUACGGGAGGCAGCAGUGAGGAAUAUUGGUCAAUGGUCGGAAGACUGAACCAGCCAAGUAGCGUGAAGGAUGAAGGUUCUAUGGAUUGUAAACUUCUUUUAUACGGGAAUAAAACCUCCCACGCGUGGGAGCUUGUAUGUACCGUAUGAAUAAGCAUCGGCUAACUCCGUG
Molecule: ribosomal RNA, 486 nt
Filed under: uncultured bacterium
Lineage: Bacteria
Description: bacterial SSU rRNA
Rfam family: Bacterial small subunit ribosomal RNA
Source: RNAcentral